UUGACGGGGCCCGCACAAGCAGUGGAGCAUGUGGUUUAAUUCGAAGCAACGCGAAGAACCUUACCAGGGCUUGACAUCCCGCGAACCUCCUGAAAGGAGGGGUGCCUUCGGGAGCGCGGAGACAGGUGCUGCAUGGUUGUCGUCAGCUCGUGUCGUGAGAUGUUGGGUUAAGUCCCGCAACGAGCGCAACCCCUGUCCUUUGUUGCCAGCGGUUUGGCCGGGCACUCAAAGGAGACUGCCGGAGACGAUCCGGAGGAAGGUGGGAUGACGUCAAAUCCUCAUGGCCCUUAUGUCCUGGGCGACACACGUGCUACAAUGGCCUGCACAGAGGGCUGCGAUGCCGCGAGGCAAAGCCAAUCCCCAAAAGCAGGUCCCAGUUCGGAUUGAAGGCUGAAACCCGCCUUCAUGAAGCCGGAAUUGCUAGUAAUCGCGGAUCAGCCAUGCCGCGGUGAAUACGUUCCCGGGCCUU
RNAcentral lists this ribosomal RNA (469 nucleotides) under uncultured Clostridia bacterium. RNAcentral describes it as "bacterial SSU rRNA". It matches the Rfam family "Bacterial small subunit ribosomal RNA", at positions 910 to 1382 of the family's 1533-position model. Lineage: Bacteria; Bacillati; Bacillota; Clostridia. The record is from RNAcentral.